This 805-nucleotide ribosomal RNA is filed under the name uncultured archaeon. RNAcentral describes it as "bacterial SSU rRNA". It matches the Rfam family "Archaeal small subunit ribosomal RNA", at positions 21 to 829 of the family's 1478-position model. The record is from RNAcentral.
AGUCACUGCUAUCGNUGUUCGACUAAGCCAUGCGAGUCAAAUGUUCUUCGUGAACAUGGCGUACUGCUCAGUAACACGUGGAUAACCUGCCCUUAGGUCUGGCAUAACCCCGGGAAACUGGGGAUAAUUCCGGAUAGAUCAUAGAUGCCGGAAUGCGCUGUGAUCCAAAGCUAUUGUGCCUAAGGAUGGGUCUGCGGUCUAUCAGGUUGUAGUGGGUGUAAUGUACCUACUAGCCUACGACGGAUACGGGUUGUGGGAGCAAGAGCCCGGAGAUGGAUUCUGAGACAUGAAUCCAGGCCCUACGGGGCGCAGCAGGCGCGAAAACUUUACAAUGCGGGGAACCGCGAUAAGGGGACACCGAGUGCCAGCAUCCUAUGUUGGCUGUCCAUAUGUCUAAAUCACAUGUGUUAGCAAGGGCCGGGCAAGACCGGUGCCAGCCGCCGCGGUAACACCGGCGGCCCGAGUGGUGGCCACUAUUAUUGGGUCUAAAGGGCCCGUAGCCGGUUUGGUCAGUCUUCCGGGAAAUCUGACGGCUUAACCGUUAGGCUUUCGGGGGAUACUACCAGGCUUGGGACCGGGAGAGGUAAGAGGUACUACGGGGGUAGGAGUGAAAUCUUGUAAUCCCUGUGGGACCACCGGUGGCGAAGGCGUUUUACCAGAACGGGUCCGACGGUGAGGGACGAAAGCUGGGGGCACGAACCGGAUUAGAUACCCGGGUAGUCCCAGCUGUAAACUAUGCUCGCUAGGUGUCAGGGACGGUGCGACCGUUUCUGGUGCCGCAGGGAAGCCGUGAAGCGAGCCACCU